UUUCUAAGACUAAGCCAUGCACGUCUAAGUACAAACUAAAUGAUGGUGAAACUGCAAAUGGCUCAUUACAACGGUUAUGAUGUACCCGGGAGUUCCGAUGGAUAUUUCCAGUAACACUAGAACUAAUACAUGUCCCUGCGUUUAUUAGUUUCGCACAGUCCGUCGCUGAGUCAUGGUAAACAGUUGAUCGACUCGACGUCCCGGAACAGUUUCCGCCCCAUCAGCUUCGAUGGUUGGGUAUUGGCCUACCAUUGCAACAACGGGUAACGAGGAAUUAGGGUUUGAUUUCGGAGAGGGAGCCUGAGAAACGGCUACCACGUCUACGGAUGGCAGCAGGCGCGCAAAUUACCCAAUGCAGACACUGUGAGGUAGUGACGAGAAAUAAUAAAGCGGGACUUCUGUUUCGCUAUUAUAAUGAGGAAUAACCAAAGGUCAUUCCGAUUAGCAACUGAUGGGAAAGUCUGGUGCCAGCAGCCGCGGUAAUACCAGCGUCAGUAGCA
RNAcentral lists this ribosomal RNA (500 nucleotides) under uncultured Myrionecta. RNAcentral describes it as "SSU rRNA". It matches the Rfam family "Eukaryotic small subunit ribosomal RNA", at positions 35 to 598 of the family's 1831-position model. The record is from RNAcentral. Lineage: Eukaryota; Ciliophora; Litostomatea; Cyclotrichida; Mesodiniidae.